RNAcentral lists this ribosomal RNA (515 nucleotides) under uncultured bacterium. RNAcentral's name for it is "partial 16S ribosomal RNA". It matches the Rfam family "Bacterial small subunit ribosomal RNA", at positions 28 to 523 of the family's 1533-position model. The record is from RNAcentral.
GAUGAACGCUGGCGGCGUGCCUAAUACAUGCAAGUCGAGCGAAUGGAUUAAGAGCUUGCUCUUAUGAAGUUAGCGGCGGACGGGUGAGUAACACGUGGGUAACCUGCCCAUAAGACUGGGAUAACUCCGGGAAACCGGGGCUAAUACCGGAUAACAUUUUGAACUGCAUGGUUCGAAAUUGAAAGGCGGCUUCGGCUGUCACUUAUGGAUGGACCCGCGUCGCAUUAGCUAGUUGGUGAGGUAACGGCUCACCAAGGCAACGAUACGUAGCCGACCUGAGAGGGGGAUCGGCCACACUGGGACUGAGACACGGCCCAGACUCCUACGGGAGGCAGCAGUAGGGAAUCUUCCGCAAUGGACGAAAGUCUGACGGAGCAACGCCGCGUGAGUGAUGAAGGCUUUCGGGUCGUAAAACUCUGUUGUUAGGGAAGAACAAGUGCUAGUUGAAUAAGCUGGCACCUUGACGGUACCUAACCAGAAAGCCACGGCUAACUACGUGCCAGCCGCCGCAGUAA